AAUGAACGCUGGCGGCAGGCCUAACACAUGCAAGUCGAACGGAUCCUUCGGGAUUAGUGGCGGACGGGUGAGUAACGCGUGGGAACAUACCCAAAGGUACGGAAUAGCCUCGGGAAACUGGGAGUAAUACCGUAUGUGCUCGAAAGAGGAAAGAUGUAUCGCCUUUGGAGUGGCCCGCGUUGGAAUAUGUCGUUGGUGGGGAAUGUCCUACCAAGCCGACGUUCCAUAGCUGGUUUGAGAGGAUGAUCAGCCACACUGGGACUGAGACACGGCCCAGACUCCUACGGGAGGCAGCAGUGGGGAAUCUUAGACAAUGGGGGAAACCCUGAUCUAGCCAUGCCGCGUGAUCGAUGAAGGCCUUAGGGUUGUAAAGAUCUUUCAGGUGGGAAGAUAAUGACUGUACCACCAGAAGAAGCCCCGGCUAACUCCGUGCCAGCCGCCGCGGUAA
Molecule: ribosomal RNA, 448 nt
Filed under: uncultured bacterium
Lineage: Bacteria
Description: partial 16S ribosomal RNA
Rfam family: Bacterial small subunit ribosomal RNA
Source: RNAcentral